Molecule: ribosomal RNA, 289 nt
Filed under: uncultured Acidisoma sp.
Lineage: Bacteria; Pseudomonadati; Pseudomonadota; Alphaproteobacteria; Acetobacterales; Acidocellaceae
Description: partial 16S ribosomal RNA
Source: RNAcentral
CUACUGGGGUAUCUAAUCCUGUUUGCUCCCCACGCUUUCGCGCCUCAGCGUCAGUCAAGGACCAGGUUGCCGCCUUCGCCACCGGUGUUCUUCCCAAUAUCUACGAAUUUCACCUCUACACUGGGAAUUCCACAACCCUCUUCCCCACUCAAGCAACCAAGUAUCAAGCGCAGCCCCCAGGUUGAGCCCAGGAAUUUCACGCCUGACUUUGAUCGCCGCCUACGCGCCCUUUACGCCCAGUCAUUCCGAGCAACGCUAGCCCCCUUCGUAUUACCGCGGCUGCUGGCAC